Molecule: long non-coding RNA, 4838 nt
Filed under: Ooceraea biroi (clonal raider ant)
Lineage: Eukaryota; Metazoa; Arthropoda; Insecta; Hymenoptera; Formicidae
Description: uncharacterized LOC109610991
Source: RNAcentral
UAGCAACUCCAGCAUCCCCUUAAGUAUUCAAAUAUAACGAAGAAAUAAGAACCUAUAAGAGUCUGAAAGGAUUCUCUAAACUCUAAAUCGUGCGGUGCAUCAACACCUUUAAGCCCGUAUCAGACUACGUAUUGGAGAUUGGAGAUUGCGAAUUGGAGAUUGGAAUCCGACGAAUCAAAACAAAGCAGACCCAGAUUGCUUUGUUCUGAUUGGUCAAAUUUCAAUCUCCAAUUUGCAAUCUCCAUUCUCCAAUACGUAGUCUGAUACGGGCUUUAUUACACGCGUUCACAUAUUUGUGGCGCGAGCUUGACCACGUGGUUACACCCACGUGACCGCGAUAUCUUUACUUGGGGUGCUCGAUGCGAUGCAUCGAAUAAAUUUGCGCAUUAUUGUUAUUAUCGGAAGGUACUUGAUCAUCGAAUAAUAAUUUUAAGUGCCCGAAUUAAACACUCAUGUUAUCUCGAGUCGGUGAACCCGACGUCAUUAGUAUUGUUACAGAUAUAAAUAAGUGCCACUUAAACACCGAGCGUAAAUCGAGCGCGGUUGUCUAUUUUAAACCCGGAAUUAAAAAUAACGAGAUGACAACUGUAUAGAGAUGAUUUUUAACUUCUACAUUUGCGCGAAAAAUUAUCCAAACGAGAUUGAAUUAAACCAGAUUUAGACUUGUAGAAAAUAAGAGAUAGAUAAUUUUCUAUACUAAAGUAUAGAAAAGAUAAAAAAAUAAAGUUUAAAUAAAAACUCAGAUCUCUCUCUCUCUUUCUCUCUUAAAAAAAAUAUGAGAGAAAUUAUAGUUGUAUUCAACAUCAAGAUAAAGUUUCUUUGCAACUGUCGAAUACUUCGUAAGUCUUAAGCAGCAAAGAUCCUUAAAGGGUUGUUAUGUUUCACGCGUGUUGAGGGGCUAAUCGAAUGGCGAGAAAAGCGUUUUGUAGGACUGCCGUGAAUACUGGCGCGUUAAACGCCUUCAAGGCCUUUGUAAUGUAGACUCAAUCACCGCCAAUCUACAGGGUCUUAGCAAUUUGCCUCCUUGAAUGAUCUCAAGCGGCAUCUGCGAAUCGCAAAGCAUCGCGAUAGUCGAAUACUUGACUUAUAAGGAUGCAUGAUUUAACCAAUUAUCUUUCGCAUACUAAGUGUGCGAAGGAACAAGUAUCGGUGAUAUGCUUUUUUGCGACACAUACAUAUUAAAAAUCCUUCUAGUAAGUACUGAUUCGUAUGCGAAUUUAAUCUUCAUUGUUUACUCGAUGAUCACGAUCGAUUUUUGUUCCUUGUCCGCACUGACAGUUUUACUAUGCAUGCUUACAUGUUUCAUCAUGUUGAACGUUGAAUUGCCAGAAAAACUUGACAUGUUUGGCGCGAAAUACAAGAAACCAUGCCUCUUGUUUACUCUUCUGAAAUAGAAUCACAUUUUGUUCUUUUGUGGCAUUUUCGGGGUCCCUCUUUCAAGGUUUUCGUCUUCACAUAUUUCAUAUCACAUAGUCAGAUAUUAGAAAAUUAUGUAUUAAUUGUUUCUUCACAAGGCAAUACAAUGAGCGAUGCUUAUGAGUAUCGACGAUUUAUAUCGUUCAAAUUUCGCGCAUGAAAAUAUCAGUAUGAAUGUUAGUUGCUUUUAAGUUGAAUGUAAAUGCUGAUUGGUCGCGUGCAUUGCUCUUGUCGUUGAUUGCUCAUCCCAGAACAAAAGCGGCCAAUUAGAGAUAAUGCCGGGUAUCUGUGCGAGUUUACCAUAUCAAUAUGUUAUAUUCGAUGCGGCAGAAGUGGUGUCGUAUUAUUAAAAAUUAUCAAUUUCUAUAGAACUCCAGGCAGCAAAAUGAGAAACAUUAAUAAAUCAAGAUAUCGCGUCAUAAAUUUAUUAAAUUCCUUAUUCAACAUAAUUAUAAUACAAUACUUAAUUAAAAUAACAAAUAUUUAUGUAUCGUAAAUAAUAUGGAAAAAUAUCUCUACUUCGAGAACAAGAAUUUUUAAUAGGUAUUUUCUGUCCAAUGGUUUGCCGUAAAAUAUGCUAGUGUAAUACAAAAUUAUGAAUGUCAUGUCGAGAGGAUACAUAUAUGUAUAGAGAAGUAUCGAUCCUUAUCGAAUACUUUUUAUUCAAUACUGCUUCUCACGUAUCAGUAUGUGAAGUGUGUAGAAUUGUACAUGUGCAUUUAAAAGCGUAAAAUGUUGGAAACUAAAUGCGGCAUCAAAGUUGUAUUCACACUGACAAUAGGUUGCGUAUAGAAUAAAUUAAAUUAAAUUAGAUAUUUAACCAAGCGUACUUACCUGCAAAAAUAUUUUCUACAUUUAUUUCGAAACAGUUUGAAAAGAUAAAGUUAUACCAAGAAGUCCUCUGAUGUUGCGAGAAAUCUGAGCUGCCAUGACUGUUGUUUAUUAUCUCAAUUAGCGAUAUCAGAAGUCCCUUAGGCAUUAAGAUGAAUCAUAUUUGUUUAUACUAUCUCAAAUGUCAGAUUCAAAAACAUCCGCGUGCAUCUGAACUUUUCGUAAUUUUGAUUUUAUGAGACGUUAUUUCCUCAUAUAUAAUCUUCAAAUUAACAAAAGAUACACGCAACUUCAAACUUGAUCGAAACUGGUUCUUUUCAUGUUUUGUAAAUUAGCAUUUCACCGACUGUUUGUUGAUUUGAAAUUUGGUGCAUUUACAUAAUUAUUUAUUCCAGAAACGUAUGCAUUCGAGUAUGUAGUCAGUACUUAAUUGACUAACAUUAGGACUAGUCAAUGUCUGAGCUAAACUGUUUUUUUUUGUUGAGGUUUGAGCUAGCGAGGUGACGGACCUGAUUCGCAAUUCAGCAGCGCUCAGCUGAUCGAGCAGCUGAACACGCGAAAACAGCAAACGAUUUGAGGAAGCUAACGCACGUGAUCGCGAAACGUGAUAGAAUCCGAAUGUGACACUUGUACCAGUGAUGCUCAAACGAAAUGCUCAUGAAAAUUCUGCAAGAUUUUUGAGGACGUUCCAUGGGGAAAUUCUUAAAGAAUUUACUAAAGAUUCUAGUCGGUCUUUCAAAUAUUUUCAGUGACUCUCAAAAUAUUUUACGUGGAGAAAUCGGAAGAAGUUUUGUUUCAUGUUUGUGUUGAGCGUGUUAUCUUUCUAUGAGAACCGCAAUGAUAAUAGGCCGUCCACCUAAAGAUAAGGCCCCGAGAGUUCAGUCCACAAAAACGCGUCUCUAUUCAGCAUUCAUCUCGUUCUCAUGGUCGUCGUGAAAUAAAACCUCGCCUACCGUUUCUCUCUUGCUCCCGCACAGUGUGUGCUCUUCGUCUAAUCGAGUCACAUGUAUGCGUAGUUUCGCUAUAAAAUGCUAAUUUUAUACAAUUUUAUACAGUGGGACAGGGAUACUGCCGUCAUCUACUAAUGUUCCACGUAAGAUUAACCAUUAAUUAAUAAAAUAUUAAUAACGUGCGCGAUAUAGAGAGAAGAAGAAUAAUAAAUAAAUCAAUGUAUUUUCCUAAUCAAAUAAUUCACGUUACACAACGUUCACGUUAGCUUCCAUCGAGAUCAUAUCGAUCGAUACGAGUGUGCUUGAAUGUGUACACAUACAUGUAUCGAUCGUCGCAUAGUGGAAGCGCCGAAUAACAGUUAAGCCGUAAAAGCGCGACGAUAAAUAAGCAAGGCGGGUCAUCGUCCAGCGAGAUACGAGGAUUCAUGUUUAACGAGCCGUCCUGAAGUCGCCAUCGUUCAUGCGCGCGCGGGCAUUACGAUACUCGACGCUUCUCGAUGGUAUCGAAGUAUCAAUAGGACCAAGUUUUGAUAUCUUCCGUUGAUAAAUUUAAUCUUGAAAUCAUUAUGAAAUGAAGUCUCGAUAGUUUGGACUCUCAAGAUGCUGGAAUGAGUCGAUUUUUCUUGAAAGAUUCGUAAACGAAAUAUUCACGAAAAAAGAAGAAAAAACCGACUGAGUCAUUGUCGUCAUGGGAUUUCCAUAUGAUCUAUCGUCAUGAGAUGGCCAGUAAUCAAACGAUUAAUAAGAGCGACUAAUAAUACGCGCGAGCUUGCAGACGCUCGCCAUACCGCCGACGACCACGUAGGAGCUUGCCUUCACGCGUGUAUGUGUGUGCGCACGUGUGUGCGCCAGGCGUGCAUGUAUACCAUGUAAUGUGCAUAUACGUGAGGAGUAAUUGAACGGUAGGCACGCAUAGAGAGAAAGAGGGGGCGAGCAAGCAACAAACAUGUCGUUGAGCGCGAUCGUCUCGUGCACAUUGGACUUUAUUGCCUUUGCUGACUUAUUGUGCGAGAGUGACAGAACGAUCAGCGAGACGACCACAGGCAGGCUCUGGACGAAGAAGAGAAGAGGUGUAAACCUUGAUUUAUUCAUGGUUUAGAAUACACGCUUCUCGGGAGCGCAAGGGGAAGAUUACGAGGGUGGCAAGUGAAGUGAUCGUAGCGUAUUGCUAAAGUUUAUCCCGACUUAAUUUAAAGUGAAAGCAGAUGCCUAAUUUGUACGUGAUUGCAUUUUCCAAAAUCCUGUUGUAUCCUGCUAUUGGUGAUAGAAAUUGAAUGUGCAUUAUAAAUUGUCGAUACUCUGCAGUAUCCAGAAACCAGGAAGAAGAUACAAUAAAACACGCGUGACUCUCUUGAACACCCUGUAAGUACUAACAUAACGGAUGGACGCUAAUAGUGCUAACGAUAAAUAUUUCUUAAUCAUCACAUUCUCGCCUCGAUGAUUUUUCAUGCUCGCUCAGCGCUUUUUAGAUCAGGUUUCCGCGGCGACCGAGAUAACAAUAAUGAUAAAUAAUAAUAAACAUAUGUAUAUACACGCUAUGAGUAUCGCGUGCAGUGAGUUCGCAAGCCUUUACGCUGCGCAGAUUGCGUAUAUUCGCGAUGGUUCGCGAGAAUUUCGCGGCGUGUUGAUUUCAUUAUCGAA